RNAcentral lists this ribosomal RNA (2904 nucleotides) under Pseudoxanthomonas sp. RNAcentral describes it as "23S ribosomal RNA". It matches the Rfam family "Bacterial large subunit ribosomal RNA". Lineage: Bacteria; Pseudomonadati; Pseudomonadota; Gammaproteobacteria; Lysobacterales; Lysobacteraceae. The record is from RNAcentral.
GUUAUAUGGUCAAGCGAAUAAGCGCACACGGUGGAUGCCUUGGCGGUCAGAGGCGAUGAAGGACGUGGCAGCCUGCGAAAAGUGCGGGGNAGCUGGCAACAAGCAUUGAUCCCGCAAUGUCCGAAUGGGGAAACCCACUGCUUCNNGGCAGUAUCCUGCAGUGAAUACAUAGCUGCUGGAGGCAAACCCGGUNNGAACUGAAAUAUCUAAGUAACCGGAGGAAAAGAAAUCAACCGAGAUUCCCUGAGUAGUGACGAGCGAACGGGGACCAGCCCUUAAGCUGGNAUUGGUUUUAGAAGAACAGUCUGGAAAGACUGGCCAUAGACAGUGACAGCCCGGUAUUCGAAAAGACCUUUUCAGUGAAGACGAGUAAGGCGGGGCACGAGAAACCCUGUCUGAACAUGGGGNGACCAUCCUCCAAGGCUAAAUACUCCUGACCGACCGAUAGUGAACCAGUACCGUGAGGGAAAGGCGAAAAGAACCCCGGAGAGGGAGUGAAAUAGAUCCUGAAACCGUGUGCGUACAAGCAGUAGGAGCCCGCAAGGGUGACUGCGUACCUUNUGUAUAAUGGGUCAGCGACUUACUGUUCGUGGCAAGCUUAANCCGUAUAGGGAGGCGAAGGGAAACCGAGUCUGAUAAGGGCGCAUAGUCGCGGGCAGUAGACCCGAAACCGGGUGAUCUAGUCAUGCCCAGGGUGAAGGUGCCGUAACAGGUACUGGAGGCCCGAACCCACUCCCGUUGCAAAGGUAGGGGAUGAGGUGUGAUUAGGAGUGAAAAGCUAAUCGAACCCGGAGAUAGCUGGUUCUCCUCGAAAGCUAUUUAGGUAGCGCCUCGUAUGAAUCUUCUUGGGGGUAGAGCACUGUUAUGGCUAGCGGGACAUCGCGUCUUAGCAAACCAUGGCAAACUCCGAAUACCAAGACAGAAUGUACGGGAGACACACGGCGGGUGCUAACGUCCGUCGUGAAAGGGAAACAACCCAGACCCACAGCUAAGGUCCCAAAUUUCGUGCUAAGUGGAAAACGAUGUGGAAAGGCACAGACAGCCAGGAGGUUGGCUUAGAAGCAGCCACCCUUUAAAGAAAGCGUAAUAGCUCACUGGUCGAGUCGGUCUGCGCGGAAGAUUUAACGGGGCUAAGCACGAAACCGAAGCUUGGGGUGCAUAACUUUGUUAUGCGCGGUAGAGGAGCGUUCCGUAAGCCUGCGAAGGUGGCUUGAGAAGGCUGCUGGAGGUAUCGGAAGUGCGAAUGCUGACAUGAGUAACGAUAAUGCGGGUGAAAAGCCCGCACNNGCCGAAAGCCCAAGGUUUCCUUNNGCGCAACGUUAAUCGACGCAGGGUUAGUCGGUCCCUAAGGCGAGGGCGAAAGCCGUAGUCGAUGGGAAGCAGGUUAAUAUUCCUGCACCUCGCGUGAGUGCGAUGGAGGGACGGAGAAGGUUAGGUGUACCGGGCGUUGGUUGUCCCGGGGAAAGGCGGUAGGUUUGGAUCUUUGGCAAAUCCGGGAUCCUUUAAGACCGAGCACCGAGACGAGCCCUUUAGGGCGAAGUCACUGAUACCACGCUUCCAGGAAAAGCUCCUAAGCUUCAGCUCACGCAGACCGUACCGUAAACCGACACAGGUGGGUAGGAUGAGAAUUCUCAGGCGCUUGAGNAGAACUCGGGUGAAGGAACUAGGCAACAUGGCACCGUAACUUCGGGAGAAGGUGCACCCUCUUUGGUGGCCCAUGCGGGCUAUAGCUGAGGGGUCGCAGAAACCAGGCCGCUGCGACUGUUUAUCAAAAACACAGCACUCUGCAAACACGAAAGUGGACGUAUAGGGUGUGACGCCUGCCCGGUGCUGGAAGGUUAAUUGAUGGGGUCAGCCGCAAGGCGAAGCUCUUGAUCGAAGCCCCAGUAAACGGCGGCCGUAACUAUAACGGUCCUAAGGUAGCGAAAUUCCUUGUCGGGUAAGUUCCGACCUGCACGAAUGGCGUAACGACAGCGGCGCUGUCUCCACCCGAGACUCAGUGAAAUUGAAAUCGCUGUGAAGAUGCAGCGUUCCCGUGGCAAGACGGAAAGACCCCGUGAACCUUUACUAUAGCUUUACAUUGAACGUUGAGUUCGUCUGUGUAGGAUAGGUGGGAGGCUAUGAAACCGAGGCGCUAGCUUCGGCGGAGCCAACCUUGAAAUACCACCCUGAUGUGCUUGACGUUCUAACCNUAGGUCCGUAAUCCGGAUCGGGGACCAUGUAUGGUGGGUAGUUUGACUGGGGCGGUCUCCUCCCAAAGAGUAACGGAGGANGCUCGAAGGUACGCUCAGCGCGGUCGGACAUCGCGCACNUGUGUGCAAAGGCAUAAGCGUGCUUGACUGCGAGAUCGACGGAUCAAGCAGGUACGAAAGUAGGACUUAGUGAUCCGGUGGUUCUGUAUGGAAGGGCCAUCGCUCAACGGAUAAAAGGUACUCCGGGGAUAACAGGCUGAUACCGCCCAAGAGUUCAUAUCGACGGCGGUGUUUGGCACCUCGAUGUCGGCNUCAUCACAUCCUGGGGCUGUAGUCGGUCCCAAGGGUAUGGCUGUUCGCCAUUUAAAGUGGUACGCGAGCUGGGUUCAGAACGUCGUGAGACAGUUCGGUCCCUAUCUGCCAUGGGCGUUGGAAGUUUGAGAGGGGCUGCUCCUAGUACGAGAGGACCGGAGUGGACGAACCUCUGGUGUUCCGGUUGUCACGCCAGUGGCAUUGCCGGGUAGCUAUGUUCGGAAGCGAUAACCGCUGAAAGCAUCUAAGCGGGAAGCGCGCCUCAAGAUGAGACUUCCCGGGGCACAAGCCCCUAAAGGAACCAUCAAGACUAGGUGGUUGAUAGGUCAGGUGUGUAAGUGGGGCAACCCAUUGAGCUAACUGAUACUAAUGAUCCGUGCGGCUUGACCAUAUAACCUCA